CUGAGUAAUGCAGUCCCUCGGGGAAAGUAGGCUGGAAACCUUUGUCAAGGGGCAGUCAAGCCCUGUAAGGCUGUAAGGUGGAAGCGGCCCGCGUGCACCCUGCAUCGACAGGAGAGCCCCCUGAUGAUUGUUUGCGUUUGGGGCCCCCUCUGUUUAAACACUAAGGAGUCCAUGGAGGAGUGUGUGAGCUCCAAAGGAACCUGAAGAACCAACCAGCAACAGCUCUUGGCUGCAAUAGGAUUUGCAGGGUUACCCAGUAGCCCUACGGUUUCCAGGCCCACAUAUGAAGAGAAUCAUGGAGCAUCAGAGUUGGAAAGGAUCGUACUACACCUGUUAGGAAACCAAAGAUCCAGAGAGAUGAAGUGACUUGUCCAAAAUUACACAGCAAAUCUGCAAGUGAACAGGGAAAAAAAAUAGAUCUUCUGGUUCUUUCCUGUGCCACUCUUCCUCUCGAGGGUUAAGGCUUUCUCUUAGACACACAAGCCUUUCAUAAGGAGAGAUUACUGGACUACUGUUACACUUUCACCCAAAUUCCAUGAGACAUGCACACCUCUAGAGUCUUCCUACCAUUCUGCAAUUCUCCAGAUCAAGAACCCCAACUUCCCGCCUCAUAGUUUGGCAUCUGGCCAGGCAGUGCUGUCUGAAAUACCAGCUCCUGGCAACAGAUCAUUCUUUCCUGAGUCAGAAGAGGGGGGAUGGAUUAUUUAUUUCCUUUUGGGGACCAGUAGAAUGCACUCUUGCCUUUGUGGGAGGCUCCUAAUUAUAAAGGAGGAAUGUGUCAACUGCUCUGCCCAGACCCUCUACCUACAGAGAUCUGCUAAGUUAAUGAAGUAAACACUAGCUGCUCCCCUCCUUCCCCAUUCUAUUUUCUUGUCUUCUUUCUUUGAAAAUUUUAGAAUUGGACUGGAACUGAAAAUCAUUAUGUUAUGCUAAAGAAGCACUUCUUCUUUAGAGUCA
Non-coding RNA from Leptonychotes weddellii (Weddell seal), 957 nucleotides. Lineage: Eukaryota; Metazoa; Chordata; Mammalia; Carnivora; Phocidae. The record is from RefSeq and is a predicted model, not a curated record.